RNAcentral lists this long non-coding RNA (2080 nucleotides) under Medicago truncatula (barrel medic). Its description in RNAcentral is "long non-coding RNA (MTRU_LNC002385)". The record is from RNAcentral. Lineage: Eukaryota; Viridiplantae; Streptophyta; Magnoliopsida; Fabales; Fabaceae.
AGCCUCUUAUGUUUUUAUUGUUUGUAAAUUAUAUAUGAUGAGCUUUUGGUUUUAAUGUUGCAUGUUAGUGUUAUGUGCUUAGUAUUUUCAUUUAUUCGGGGUGUGAUUCAUCAACUUCUUUCUUUUAAGGGUGUUAUUUUCUGGAAAAGGCAACUAAAAGGAAAAAUCAGUUACGUAAGCAAAAAUCAUAAGGUCAUGGUGGAAAUUCCACCUUCAUUGCGGUCUGCCCCUAGCUGCCUAAAUUACGACCUUUGGUUUACCUUCAUUGCAGCCUCCAACACCUUCAUUGUGUUGGCUUUAAGGGGGUGGAUUUAGUCCCACGUUGGAUAGAUAGGACUCUUGAGAAGAGUUGAUAAAGAGGAGACACUCCUCACCUUACAAGCCGGUUCUAUAAAGAUGAGUUAGGCACCAAAUUUCAACAUGGCAGCAGAGCCUAUCCUAGAUCUAUCAUUGGGCUUCCCACAUUGUCUACGCUUUAGGUCUAUUGGGCCGGGCUGAAACGUGAGGGGGUGUGUUGGAAAUUCCACCUUCAUUGCGGUCUGCCCCCAGUCGCCUAAAUUGCGGCCUUUGAUUUGCCUUCAUUGCAGCCUCCAACACCUUCAUUGUGUUGGUUUUGAGGGGGUGAAUUUAGUCCCACAUCGGAUAGAUAGGACUCUUGAGAAAAGUUGAUAAAGAGGAGGCACUCCUCACCUUACAAGCCGGUUUUGUAAGGAUGAGUUAGGCCCCAAAUUUCAACGGGUCAUAUAUCAUAUACCACAAAAAGUGAGCAUAAAACACUGUGCAGGCAAGAAGAAUUAAAAAAAUUAGGGUAUCAGGACUUUGUAAUGGUGAUUUUUAUUUGGGUUACAUUUAUUUUGGGAUAGUGAUAAUCACUGUCAAGUGAUUAGGUGGAAGUGAUGUAACUUUUAGGGAUUUCCUUCCUGAUUGUGUGGAAAAGUUUCAUACGUAUUGUUUAAGGAGCAUGAACUAUGCAGGCUGCACAAUGCAAUGACAUUAUGUAAAGUUUUUUUUUUUUUUUUUGGUUACUGUAAAGUUUUAUUAUUUGCAAAAUAUAAAAAAUUCUACUAUUUUGUGGAAACUAAAGAAUGUGAAUCAUAUUAUAUUGAACUUUAUAUACAACAUAUGAGUUUCACUGUCCCAGAUAUGCCUCUCUUAUUGUUUCUGAUUCUACGUUGAUAAGUUGGAAUAUGGAACCCAAAAGUAGUUUUGAUGAUAAGGGGUGAUAUAGAAUGAGAUUGUUGCAAUAUGUAAUUUGCAAUGGAUUAAUCCGAGUCUGCCCGUGGUGAUUCAACAGAGAAAUAUUAUACGAUUCAAGCACUUGUGGCAUAUACUAUUUCCUUAUUAACAGGCUACAAAUCUUGAAUUCUACAGUUUUUAGAUAAUCCAUAGUUGAAUGUAUAUUUACAUAUUCGUAGUUUUACUUUCUUAUUAUUCCGAAAGCAAUUUUGAGAUCUCUGUCGAAUUGCCUACCUAUCAUAAAGUUGAAUACAGGAAUAGAGGAUAAGUAACUUCUUUGCAGCUAUUACAUAAAAGUAAAGUAUAUGACUUAAUUCAUAUCUUGUUAAUCUGUGUAGAUACUCGGUUGGUCUAUGAAUGAAAACCGAAUUCUUCAUAUAAAAAAGAGUCCGUUUUGAUAUGAUUACCAUUCUAUAUAUAAAUGGUCACAACUUCAGAGUGAUCUAAUAGGGAACUAGUAUUUCACAUCAGAGGAUAAAGAUGGAUUUGAAUAAGCAUUUUCUAUUUGGUUCAGCAUCCUCAUUGCUGCUGACCAAAGCUUGUAAAUAAUAAACCAGCCCUCCUGCAUGUUUUGAAAUUUCCCAAUAAUGAAAGCUUCAAGCCUUCGGGUUUUUACAAUUUAUGGUGAGUCUGUUCUUUGAAAGUAUGCAUGUCUUAUACCAUUUUCUCCUCUCAAUGCACUUUAGCCUUGUCCUCAUCAUCAUAACCAAUGAAAAUAUAUCGUAUAUCUUCUCUGCAUUAAAGUCGUUCCAUUUGGUAGGGUGGGUGUUCUUUUAUUUCCCUUUUCUGAAGCAAAAGAUGCAUGCAGGUACACAAAACAAGUAUAAUAAGCCCCUAUGGCCCU